UAGGGUUUGAUCCUGGCUCAGGAUAAACGUUGGCGGUGUGCCUUAUGCAUGCAAGUCGUACGAGGUUAUGGUCUUCGGAUUGUAACCGAGUGGCGAACGGUUGAGUAACACGUAAGUAACCUGCCUGCAAGUGGGGAAUAACCUGUCGAAAGGCAGGCUAAUACCGCAUAUGAUAAUCGAGUAUUGCUUGAUUAUUAAAGCCUUAGGGUGCUUGGAGAUGGGCUUGCGUCUGAUUAGCUAGUUGGUGAGGUAAUGGCUCACCAAGGCGAUGAUCAGUAGCUGGUCUGAGAGGAUGGUCAGCCAGAUGGGGAUUGAGAUACGGCCCCAACUCCUACGGGAGGCAGCAGCAGGGGAUAUUGGGCAAUGGGCGAAAGCCUGACCCAGCGACACCGCGUGAGGGAGGAAGGCCUUCGGGUUGUAAACCUCUUUUCUCGAGGAAGAAUUUUGACGGUACUCGAGGAAUAAGCCUCGGCUAACUACGUGCCAGCAGCCGCGGU
RNAcentral lists this ribosomal RNA (497 nucleotides) under uncultured bacterium. Its description in RNAcentral is "bacterial SSU rRNA". It matches the Rfam family "Bacterial small subunit ribosomal RNA", at positions 1 to 521 of the family's 1533-position model. The record is from RNAcentral.